AUGGCGCAUGAUGAAGCUGUGGCUGCCCAGAAGACUGGAAAAUCAGGUUCACCUCCUAAGGAUCAACCAGCUCCCAGUCCAUAUCCUGAUUGGUCGGCCAUGCAGGCAUACUACGGUUCUGGUGUCAUGCCACCGGCAUAUUUUGCCCCAGCCAUAGCUGCGGGUCAUCCACCUCCACCGUAUAUGUGGGGUCCUCAGCAUAUGAUGCCACCCCCUUUUGGAACGCCAUAUGCAAUGUACCCACAUGGUGGAGCUUACCCGCACCCGCUUGUGCCCAUGAUGGCAAGUCCAUUGAGCGUGGAGCCAGCCAAAUCUGCAAACAGUAAGGAUAAAAGUUCCAAUAAGAAACUUAAGGAAAUUGAUGGGUCUGCAGUAUCUACCGGCAGUGGUAACAGUAAAAAAACAUCAUCCAGUGGGGAUUAUAGUGGAGAAGGCUCCAGUGAUGUUAAUGAUCUGAAGGUGAGCGGGACUCCUAGGAAACGGAGCUUGGAUGGUGGAUUUGACGCAGAAGCAACCGCGGCAGCAAGGAAUAAAGAUGUUGUAGCUUCUAGUCCUAUAAUUCGAAAUGGCGCAAUUUUGUCAAAUCAGUGCUUUCCAGCUCCAGUCAUUAAACCCAGUGUUACGAAUGUUGCUAAUUCAAGGGCAAUAGGCACACCAGUGUCUCCAUUGCCAGGUGUUAUGGGUCCAAUUCAUACCGGAAUAUCAACUGAAUUAUCAUCUAAGGAUGAGAGGGAAGUAAAGCGUGAAAAGAGAAAGCAAUCAAAUAGGGAAUCUGCUAGACGGUCGAGGCUGAGAAAGCAGGCUGAGACAGAGGAAUUGGCCACACAAGUAGAAUCGCUUACAGCUGAGAACACGUCUCUAAAAUCUGAAAUCGGCAAGCUAACGAAAAGCUCCGAGAAGCUCAGAAUAGAGAAUUCUGCUCUAGUGAUGAAACUUAAGGGCACCGCAGCACCGACCAGCGCAGAAAUGCCUCUGGACAAAUCAGCAGUUGCUGCACCCUCCUCCUCUCCUCGUGUCGUGGAGAAUUUCUUGUCGAUGAUCGACGACACAAGCAAGUCAGGUGUAAAAAACCACAUGGAGCACAGCGAGCCCAAGCUCCGCCAGCUCCUCGGCUCCAGCGCGACAACGGAUGUCGUGGCUGCAAACUGA
This 1149-nucleotide ribosomal RNA is filed under the name Triticum aestivum (bread wheat). RNAcentral's name for it is "partial small subunit ribosomal RNA". Lineage: Eukaryota; Viridiplantae; Streptophyta; Magnoliopsida; Poales; Poaceae. The record is from RNAcentral.